This 2842-nucleotide long non-coding RNA is filed under the name Mus musculus (house mouse). RNAcentral describes it as "long non-coding RNA chr19:13059165-13062007". Lineage: Eukaryota; Metazoa; Chordata; Mammalia; Rodentia; Muridae. The record is from RNAcentral.
UUGUGUGAGUAUGAAUUUCAGGGUCAUUGUGAUUUGAAGUUCCUUGAUGACUAAGAAUGAUGAUCAAUUAUUUAGGUGCUUCUCAGCCAUUGAAAUUUCCUCAUUUGGAAAUUCUCUUUAGGUAUGUUCCAUUAUUUUUAAUAGGGUUAUUUGAUUUUCUGAAGUCUAACUUCUUGAGUACUUUGUAUAUAGUGGAUAUGAGUAGUCUUUUGUAUAUAGAGUUGGAAAAUGUCUUUUCCAAUCUAGUGGUUACUUUUUUGUACUAUUGGGAGUGUCCUUUGCCUUACAGAAGAUUUGCAGUAUUAUGAGGUCCCCUUUGUCUAUUAGUGAUCUUAAAGCAUAAGCCAUUAGUGUUUUGUCCUGGAAUUUUCUCCCUGUGCCCAUGUGUUCAAGGUAAAACAGGCUGAGAAAGAAAUUAGGGAAACAGACCCUUCACAAUAGUCACAAAUAAAAUAAAAUACCUUUUUGUGACUCUAAAGCUAGUUAAAGAUCUCUAUGAGAAGAACUUCAAGAAUUCUUUCUUUGAAGAAAGAAUUGAAGAUCUCAGAAGUUAGAAAGAUUUCCCAUGUUCACGGAUUGGCAGGAUUAAUAGAGUAAAAAUGGAAAUCUUGCCAAAAGCAAUCUACAGAUUCAUGCAAUCCCCAUCAAAAUUCCAACUCAAUUCUUCAUAGAGUUAGAAAGAGCAACUUGCAACUUAAUUUGGAAUAGCAUAAAACCUAGGAUAGGGAAAGCUAUUCUCAACAAUAACAGAACUUCUCCGGGAAUCAACAUCCCUGACCUCAAGCUGUAUUACAGAGCAAUGGUGACAAAAAUUGUAUAGUAUUCGUACAGAGACAGGCAGGUACAUAAGUAGAGUAUGAUUGAAGAUCAAGAAAUGUACAAACACACCUGUGAUCAUUUGAUCUUUGACAAAGGGUCUAAAUCCAUCCAGUGGGAAAAAGAGAGCCUUUUCAACAAAUGGUGCUGGUUCAACUGGGAGUCAGCUUGUAGAAGAGUGCACACCAAUCCUUUUUUAUCUCCUUAUACAAUGCUCAAGUUCAAGUACAUCAUGGACUUCCACAUAAAAACAGAAGUACUGAAACUAACAGAGGAUAAAGUAGGAGAGGGCUUUAAUCUUGAAGUUUUAUGAGUGUAGAGCCUGAACAGAGCAUUUUGCACACAGUUAAUUGUUCUAUGCUGUUGAUUGUGGUUUUUGAUAUGAAAGGCUGCUACAGGUUCCUUCUACUUUGAGUUCCCUGUAAUGAUACAUUAUAAAAUGUAAUUUUGGUCCAAAUAAACUAUCUAAUGUUUCAGUUGUUCAGCAAGCUCAGUCCCCAAGGACAGUUAAUUAUUUUUUCCCUAAGAAGACAGUAUGAGGAUGUUCAGCUAUACUCUGGAGGAAUCUCCAGAGCUCUCUGAGUAUCUAAAAUUCACCUCACACCUCCAUGUACUAGUUUCUGAUAUACAGCUAUGACGAUUAGGAUAAAUACUGUGUGCUAUUCUGCAUCAGAUGCCGUUUAUUUUAUUAAUGGCAGUCAUUGUUAACACAUGCAGGUCUUUGAACUUACUUGAGGAUUAGCUAUGAGCCUUCAAGAAAGGUGAGAAAAACACUCAAAGAUAAAAAGUCACAUUGAUUGACUUUUGUCUGGCAAUUUCUUCAUGAGUCCACUGACAGUCUCCUGAAUUUUUAUAUACAGACACCACCUGUGAAAUAUAGAAGUGAUCUUGUCUUUUUCCUGUAGUAUUUAUUCCAGAUAAAAAGGUAUGUGACUCUUUCAAGGGAAGAGGAGGAAUUCAUUGUGAAUUCAGAACUUGGUCUGUGUGGAAAUUCUGUCCUGGCCUCUUGCUUUAGACAAGCUGGAAACAUUGACCAUUUCCUAAGAAGCAGCUCGAAGAAGAUUUGAGAAAUAUAACGUAGUAGAUUUUUAACUUUUUUUGAGUAACUAUUUAGAGUACUUAUUCUUCUAUUAACUGGGCAGUUACAAUCCAGUGAGAAGGAAAGUUCCAUAGAAUAAAUGGUCUGUGUAUACCUAUUGUGAGUAACUUGAAAACGGUGCUUUAAAAAUAGUUUAGAGGGCUAAAACAAAUUAAAGGCUAAAGGUUAUUCUAAACUAGUUUUGAGAUGCUGAGUCAAAGUAUAAAUGUCAAAACACUGAAGGAAUUUUGAUAAUUCAAGUAUUAGAACAUCCUCUCAGAAAGCAUAGAAAGUAUAAGAUGUUUGAUGUAAAUUUAUAUUGUUCAGUGAAUUCUUCAUUCAAUUGGGUAGAAGACAUAAUCAGAAAAGACACAGACUCAAAGGAUAAAAUGAUUUUUCUGUACACUGAUGAAGGCUUAGACAUAAAUGAAUAAUCUCCCAGUCACCUUAAAAGUCUUGUGCCCUUAGGUCAGAUUUAUGCUGUAUGUAAUCUGUAACUCUUGUACGUGAGUGUUUCACAUAGUAUCGUCAAAAACUGAGAUUCUCAUUUAUCUUCUUAGAUUCUAAGUUAAGUUAUGAAUAGAGUAAUAGAGAAUACUUCCUUUCUACUUCUCAUUCAUGCACGCAUGUACACACACACAUGCACACUUACACAAAACUCCAUUUGUAUAUAAUAUAGCCAAUGCAGAAAGUUAUUAUAUGGGAUAGGAUUGGCCACUUAAAUAUUUUAAAGGUACAAUACGCAACUAAAAUGGCAAAAGCUCAACACAAAGAAAAUGGCAAAUAUUAGAGUAGAUAUCCUUCCAAAUAUGGUAAGCCAAACAAGAAAAUAAGUAUCAUUAGACUGUAAGAGCUACAUGUAUCAGAGAUUAAAAAAAUCUAUAUAUCCUAGGUAAUUGGGCUAUCUUGAUCUCUGUUCCCACUGUUGGGUGGUGUCUGGAGGAAAUU